RNAcentral lists this ribosomal RNA (344 nucleotides) under uncultured bacterium. RNAcentral's name for it is "bacterial SSU rRNA". It matches the Rfam family "Bacterial small subunit ribosomal RNA", at positions 28 to 387 of the family's 1533-position model. The record is from RNAcentral.
GACGAACGCUGGCGGCGUGCUUAACACAUGCAAGUCGAGCGAACCUUCGGGUUAGCGGCGAACGGGUGAGUAACACGUGGGCAACCUGCCCCGAGCUCUGGGAUAACCCCGGGAACCGGGGCUAAUACCGGAUAUGACACCGACAGACAUCUGUCGGUGUGGAAAGUUUUUCGGCGUCGGGAUGGGCUCGCGGCCUAUCAGCUUGUUGGUGGGGUAACGGCCUACCAAGGCGACGACGGGUAGCCGGCCNGAGAGGGCGACCGGCCACACUGGGACUGAGACACGGCCCAGACUCCUACGGGAGGCAGCAGUGGGGAAUAUUGCGCAAUGGGCGAAAGCCUGAC